CUGCUUAUGUUGGCAGCAUAGAUACUAAAAUUGGAACGAUAUAGAGAUUGGCAUGGCAUGGCCCCUGACACAAAAAUUUGUGACACUUUCAAUAGUUUA
This 99-nucleotide small nuclear RNA is filed under the name Nannospalax galili (Upper Galilee mountains blind mole rat). The record is from RNAcentral. Lineage: Eukaryota; Metazoa; Chordata; Mammalia; Rodentia; Spalacidae.